UUAAAUUGAAGAGUUUGAUCAUGGCUCAGAUUGAACGCUGGCGGCAGGCCUAACACAUGCUAGUCGAACGGUAACAGGAAGCAGCUUGCUGCUUU
Molecule: ribosomal RNA, 95 nt
Filed under: Salmonella enterica subsp. enterica serovar Virchow
Lineage: Bacteria; Pseudomonadati; Pseudomonadota; Gammaproteobacteria; Enterobacterales; Enterobacteriaceae
Description: partial 16S ribosomal RNA
Rfam family: Bacterial small subunit ribosomal RNA
Source: RNAcentral